UGGGGAAUAUUGCACAAUGGGCGCAAGCCUGAUGCAGCGACGCCGCGUGCGGGAUGAAGGCCUUCGGGUUGUAAACCGCUUUCACCAGGGACGAAGCGAGAGUGACGGUACCUGGGGAAGAAGCGCCGGCUAACUACGUGCCAGCAGCCGCGGUAAUACGUAGGGCGCAAGCGUUGUCCGGAAUUAUUGGGCGUAAAGAGCUCGUAGGCGGCUUGUCACGUCUGCUGUGAAAUCCCGGGGCUCAACCCCGGGCGUGCAGUGGAUACGGGCUUGCUAGAGGCAGGCAGGGGAGAACGGAAUUCCCGGUGUAGCGGUGAAAUGCGCAGAUAUCGGGAGGAACACCGGUGGCGAAGGCGGUUCUCUGGGCCUGUACUGACGCUGAGGAGCGAAAGCGUGGGGAGCGAACAGGAUUAGAUACCCCCGUAGUCC
RNAcentral lists this ribosomal RNA (429 nucleotides) under uncultured bacterium. RNAcentral describes it as "bacterial SSU rRNA". It matches the Rfam family "Bacterial small subunit ribosomal RNA", at positions 355 to 796 of the family's 1533-position model. The record is from RNAcentral.